This 1922-nucleotide long non-coding RNA is filed under the name Salmo salar (Atlantic salmon). RNAcentral describes it as "lncRNA (ENSSSAG00000095071.1)". The record is from RNAcentral. Lineage: Eukaryota; Metazoa; Chordata; Actinopteri; Salmoniformes; Salmonidae.
AGGGGAUUCAUCAGAGAAAAUGACUUUACCCCAGUCCUCAGCAGUCCAAUCCCUGUAUCUUUUGCAGAAUAUCAGUCUGUCCCUGAUGUUUUUCCUGGAGAGAAGUGGCUUCUUUGCUGCCCUUCUUGACACCAGGCCAUCCUCCAAAAGUAUUCGCCUCACUGUGCGUGCAGAUGCACUCACACCUGCCUGCUGCCAUUCCUGAGCAAGCUCUGUAGUAGUGGUGCCCCGAUCCCGCAGCUGAAUCAACUUUAGGAGACGCUCCUGGCGCUUGCUGGACUUUCUUGGGCGCCCUGAAGCCUUCUUCACAACAAUUGAACCACUCUCCUUGAAGUUCUUGAUGAUCUGAUAAAUGGUUGAUUUAGGUGCAAUCUUACUGGCAGCAAUAUCCUUGCCUGUGAAGCCCUUUUUGUGUAAAGCAAUGAUGAUGGCGCAUGUUUCCUUGCAGGUAACCAUGGUUGACAGGGGAAGAACAAUGAUUGCAAGCACCACCCUCCUUUUGAAGCUUCCAGGCUGUUGUUCGAACUCAAUCAGCAUGACAGAGCAGCUGGUCCUUUUGUGGUACCAACAACAAUGCUCAGACAGAGGAGGCCCAGGAAACGGCCCUGCCGGGGCCAACAUCAAACUGGUCAGCUCAACACUUCUCAUAGAGCGGCACCUGGUCAAAUAUCUGCUGGCUGCAGAAUCAUGAAUCGAAGAGGGGACCAGAACCCCUCGAAUGAAAGUCAAGCACGACCAAUGUUUAGUGAGGUCAUUUGCACUCACGAUUAAAGGAGAUCCAUGAAGUGAACAUGGACAGCAUCUCUAAGCCUGAUUUCUCAUAGGAGGACGGGUUGGACGGGACAGUGCAUUUCCUCAAAAUCAAGGUAGUCCCUGACAGUUGGAAGAUGGACCUGAGCGAGAUCUUAGAAUCGUCGAGGAGGACAAGGAAGGAAAGGAGAGCGAAGAGGAGAAAGAGGUGCUAAGGGUGGUCACACAAUUGUGGUGUCCUAGCUCCUCAACUACCCCAACAACAUUGUUUCGGGCCCCAUGCCAGACUUAUCUCAUCUCUCACCCCCCUCCCAAGACACCUCUCAGGCUCCAUGACUUCCAUUCCAAGCCCUGGCCAUGGUAGUGCCUCCCCAAGAGCCAGACAGGGUACCCUCCAACAUCACAAUACCUCCACUUGUCAUCACAAAAGAGGCUGAGCCCCCUACAGGUUAACGCCGUUGCUGCAGAGUGCAUUGUGGAAGAGACUGAGAGCAAGCUGAAUGAGUUGAGCCAAUGGAUCUCAGCCAUAGAGAAGGCAGAGCUGCAGCAGAAGAAAAUCCUCAAGGAGCAGUUAACCAAAGUGUACAUGAAGGUCAAAGGCCUGAAGGAUGACCCAGGAAAAGUAGUUGCUGGAGAUGAUCGUGGACUACAGGAAAAGGAGGGCCGAACAGGCCUCCAUUAACAUCGACGGGGCUGUAGUGGAGCGGGUCGAGAGUUUCAAGUUCCUUGGUGUCCACAUCACCAACAAACUAUCAUGGUCCAAACACACCAAGACAAUCAUGAAGAGGGCACGGCAACACCUUUUCCCCCACAGGAGACUGAAAAGAUUUGGUAUGGGUUCCAAGUUCCUCAAAAAGUUCUUCAGCUGCACCAUCGAGAGCAUUCUGUCUGGUUGCAUCACCGCCUGGCAUGGCAACUGCUCCGCAUCUGACCGUACCCCCUGUAUAUAGCCUCGUUAUUGUUAUGUAAUUUUAUUGUUACUUUUUAUGACAUUUUUUACUUUAGUUAUUUAGUAAAUAUUUUCUAUAUUUCUUGAACUGCAUUGUUGGUUAAGGGCUUGUAAAUAAGCAUUUCACGGUAAGAUCUACACAUGUUAUAUUCGGAGCAUGUGACAAAUAACAUUUGAUUUGAUUUAUUUGAUUUACUACCUUGACAGCAGCUAAAGGAAUCCC